RNAcentral lists this ribosomal RNA (774 nucleotides) under uncultured Neocallimastigales. RNAcentral's name for it is "partial large subunit ribosomal RNA". It matches the Rfam family "Eukaryotic large subunit ribosomal RNA", at positions 26 to 614 of the family's 3401-position model. Lineage: Eukaryota; Fungi; Neocallimastigomycota; Neocallimastigomycetes; Neocallimastigales. The record is from RNAcentral.
CGCAUCUGUGCAUGCAGCAUAUCAAUAAGCGGAGGAAAAGAAACUAACAAGGAUUCCCCUAGUAACGGCGAGUGAAGCGGGAAGAGCUCAAAUUUGAAAUCUUAAAGGGUUUCCCUUUACGAAUUGUAGUUUAAAGAAGUGUUCUCUGUUGAGGUUUUGGUAAAAGUUCUUUGGAAUAGGACAUCAUAGAGGGUGAGAAUCCCGUAUUUGACCUUUACUUUCAACUUUGUGAUACACUUUCAAAGAGUCGGAUUGUUUGGGAAUGCAGUCCAAAAUGGGUGGUAAAUUUCAUCUAAAGCUAAAUAUUGGCGAGAGACCGAUAGCGAACAAGUACCGUGAGGGAAAGAUGAAAAGAACUUUGAAAAGAGAGUUAAACAGUACGUGAAAUUGUCAAAAGGGAAGCGUUUGACACCAGUGUUGUUUUUCUGAAAAUCAAUUAAAGAACUGUUUAUGCUAAGUUGUUUAGACUUUAUCAGCUAACUGUUUAGUUUUGAGCUUCUCUUUAAUGCACUUUUCAGUUAACAAGUCAACAUCAAUUUCUUUUGCUGUAAAAAAGCUUGAGGAAGGUGGCUUGAGAUUCGUCUUAAGUGUUUAUAGCCUCUUGCCUAUGCAGUCGGAGAGAUUGAGGUCUGCAGCGUAGAUCCUUCGGGGCUAAAUGCAUUUGUGCUAAGUUAUAGCAUUUUAUAGACAACUUGUUGACUAUGAUUUGUCUUGUAGCUUACUCGCUUAUGUUAUUUUACCUACGCUUAGGAUGUUGAACGCGCACAGAGUCUC